This 253-nucleotide ribosomal RNA is filed under the name uncultured bacterium. RNAcentral's name for it is "partial 16S ribosomal RNA". It matches the Rfam family "Bacterial small subunit ribosomal RNA", at positions 524 to 776 of the family's 1533-position model. The record is from RNAcentral.
UACAGAGGUGGCAAGCGUUGUUCGGAAUUACUGGGCGUAAAGGGCGCGUAGGCGGCCUUAUAAGUCUCGUGUGAAAGCCCUCGGCUUAACUGAGGAUCUGCACGGGAUACUGUAGGGCUUGAGUUCGGGAGAGGAAAGCGGAAUUCCUGGUGUAGCGGUGAAAUGCGCAGAUAUCAGGAGGAACACCGGUGGCGAAGGCGGGUCUCUGGGCCGUAACUGACGCUGAGGAGCGAAAGCGUGGGGAGCGAACAGG